RNAcentral lists this ribosomal RNA (402 nucleotides) under Escherichia coli. RNAcentral's name for it is "partial 23S ribosomal RNA". It matches the Rfam family "Bacterial large subunit ribosomal RNA", at positions 788 to 1188 of the family's 2925-position model. The record is from RNAcentral. Lineage: Bacteria; Pseudomonadati; Pseudomonadota; Gammaproteobacteria; Enterobacterales; Enterobacteriaceae.
GUUGAAAAAUUAGCGGAUGACUUGUGGCUGGGGGUGAAAGGCCAAUCAAACCGGGAGAUAGCUGGUUCUCCCCGAAAGCUAUUUAGGUAGCGCCUCGUGAAUUCAUCUCCGGGGGUAGAGCACUGUUUCGGCAAGGGGGUCAUCCCGACUUACCAACCCGAUGCAAACUGCGAAUACCGGAGAAUGUUAUCACGGGAGACACACGGCGGGUGCUAACGUCCGUCGUGAAGAGGGAAACAACCCAGACCGCCAGCUAAGGUCCCAAAGUCAUGGUUAAGUGGGAAACGAUGUGGGAAGGCCCAGACAGCCAGGAUGUUGGCUUAGAAGCAGCCAUCAUUUAAAGAAAGCGUAAUAGCUCACUGGUCGAGUCGGCCUGCGCGGAAGAUGUAACGGGGCUAAACC